Molecule: ribosomal RNA, 243 nt
Filed under: uncultured Entrophospora
Lineage: Eukaryota; Fungi; Glomeromycota; Glomeromycetes; Entrophosporales; Entrophosporaceae
Description: uncultured Claroideoglomus partial small subunit ribosomal RNA
Rfam family: Eukaryotic small subunit ribosomal RNA
Source: RNAcentral
GGAUUGACACAUCGGUCGUGCCUUAAGGGGUAUGAACUGGUGUAGUCAAUUUCUCACCUUCUGGAGAACCGCGAUGCCCUUAAUUGGGUGUCACGGGGAACCAGGACCUUUACUUUGAAAAAAUUAGAGUGUUUAAAGCAGGCAUUUUGCUUGAAUACAUUAGCAUGGAAUAAUAAGAUACGACCUUGGUGGUCUAUUUUGUUGGUUUGCACACCAGGGUAAUGAUUAAUAGGGAUAGUUGGG